RNAcentral lists this ribosomal RNA (102 nucleotides) under Pseudomonas graminis. The record is from RNAcentral. Lineage: Bacteria; Pseudomonadati; Pseudomonadota; Gammaproteobacteria; Pseudomonadales; Pseudomonadaceae.
AGCGUUGGCACCACCUGAUCCCAUCCCGAACUCAGCAGUGAAACGAUGCAUCGCCGAUGGUAGUGUGGGGUUUCCCCAUGUGAGAGUAGGUCAUCGUCAAGA